UCAAGAAAGACAAAAAGCAGAUCUUUUUAACUUGUAACACAUCAAUGAAGUCACAAUAAAUUGUCACCUGGUUUUCCUUUUUUUUUCUCCGGACCAAUGUUGUCAUUCAUGUUUAAUAAACCUAUUGGAGCACUAAGUUGUAACUGUACACCUUACGCGUGUGGCAGCUCUUGGUUCAGCGCAUCAACAUCUACCACGAAAAAGACAUUUUAAUGUGAGGAGCCAUGCUGUGACUAAUAUUUUCCGCUCUGCACAAUGCAGCUGUGUGGGUAUGCUCUUGCUGUGGAUCCUCUGGGAAAGAGAAAACAUCAACUGGUUACCAGUGUAAAGGAGAAUCGGUGUGGACAGUCUGUGGAAAUGGAAAAGCUUCUGGUUACAGCCCUCAGAAGGAUGGAUAAAAGCAAAUCUCCAUUGACAAAAGAAUGCCUUCCCACUUAGGAUUUCAAAAAUGGCUGUACAUCUGAUAUAUGUUGCACUGCACUUAAAAUAAUGACGACCUAUCUGAAAACUUCCUAUUUGGAAGGUGGAUAGAGUCUGAAAGCAUAUAAGUGCACUAUGCGACUCAUUCAUCUGGAUACUGUAAGCCUUACAUCCUUAAUGCACAAAUUUGUUUGAAAAAAGAAAAAAAGGAAACAAAAACUCAGAUUGUGUGAUUGUCUUUUUCACCUAAAUGUGUAACUUGUCCCUCCAUCAGAGGACCUAGCUGCUUGUCUAGCUUUUAUCUGUUGUCUGACGCCAUCUCGUGGAGAUAAGAUGCAACUGCAUCAAACAAUUAUGCCCUAUCGCUGACAAUUCCAAGUUAAUGAGCUAUUCAUCAGUUUUCUUAAUAAUGAUGAAAAGUAACAUCAAAAUAAAUCAAAAUAAUAAAAAAUGAUGAACAGUAAUCAUUCUGAAUAACAAUAUAUCCACAACUCCUCCC
Molecule: long non-coding RNA, 919 nt
Organism: Oryzias latipes (Japanese medaka)
Lineage: Eukaryota; Metazoa; Chordata; Actinopteri; Beloniformes; Adrianichthyidae
Source: RefSeq, a predicted model, not a curated record